AGGCAGACGUUCAACUGACUGAGCCACCCAGGCGCCCCAAGGGCUUACAUUCUAACGUACAAGACAGGCAAUUAGUGUGUCUGCAGAUGAAAUGGUGUCAGAUAAUGAGCCACGAAGAGCUACCAUUUCUUGAGCACUUAGUAUAUCCUGUAAACCAGACUGGCUGAGUUCACAUUCUAGCUUAUCAGUUGUGUGACAGUCAGAAGAUUGCCUGCUUCUCUGUGCCUCAGUUUUCUCAUCUGUAGGAUGGGGGCAGUCAUGAUAGCCUACGGUGUGGGUUUCUUGUGAGGAUCAAAUGAGCUGAUCCGUGAACAAUACCUAAAACACUAAGUGCUUGUGUUUGUCGGGUCGCGUUCAACUAAUGUGGUCAUUAUCACCACCGCGUGCUGGGCCUUCUCCAAGCAUUCCAUUGUAUUAGCUCCUGCAGCGCAGACCGGUUCUGAGAAGUAGUCACUGUUCCCGUCCCUCACCCCCGUUUGAGAGAUAAGGAAACAGACUUGAGGGAUGCGCAUCAAGUCACACAGUUGGUCCUGGCCUGUCUUCCCCCAGGGCCUGGGAUGGGUCUGAAGGAGACAAUGCACAGUAAGCACUUGGCGAGCUGCAAAACUAAAUCCUUGAGGGCCCUGGUGUUAUCUGGUCUCCCGGCCCAGAGCAGAUUAGAAAUAGCAAAUUGGUGGGAGGGCGGAGGGAGGAAGGCACAGGGCCUUUAGCAGGGACAGCAGCACAGGGCGAGGUGCUGGCGCAGAGGCAGGCAUGGGAGCCCCAGGUGGCCCCACCUUGAUGAAGAGAGACACACAGAUACUGGCUUCCAUGUUGCUUCUUCCGGAAGGCUCGCCCCAAACCCUAACCACUUUGGGUCCCAGCACUUGGCACAUGUCUGGAGCAUAACUUUUUCAUUCAGUUGAUCCAGACCCUGGACUAAGGGCUCUACGUGAAGAUGACCUUGCAUCGUUGGUGGGCGGGAGAUUCAAGAAGCCAGGGCGGGAGAUAGUGAAUUUUAAACGGAUUGCCAACAUAUACGCAGUUGAAAACAAGGUCAGCUUUAGGUAUGAGUGAUGGAUGGUGUGUGACUCGUCCUCCCUGGCACCCUGCCUUCCACCUUGUAUGUAUAUGGCUUUCCACUUUUCUCUAGGAGCCCUCAAGGGCUCGUGAGCAGAUGGAAAUGUGGCAGCUUGUUUGUUUGUUUGUUUGUCCCAGAGCAGGUCUCUGUGUGUCUUUCCUGGCCACCCGGAAUCAUGAGACUGAUUUCAGGGUCACUGAGACCACCAGAAAGAGAGAUUUCUGACUCUUCUGUCUCCUUUUCUUCUCUCCCUGCCUGGCGGAUUUGGGGACAUCAGUAGGAGGUGCCACCAUGUCCUGGCCACACCCGAAGCCUGCCACGGCUGCUACCACCGACAUCUGGGGAGACUUUACCAAAUCCACAGGGUCGACUUCCAGCCAGACUCAACCAGGCACAGGCUGGGUCCAGUUCUGAUUUGAGUGCAACCCCUCUUUUUCCUCAUACAAUUUCUGGAAAGGAACCACUUCACCUGGGCCAAAGGAAGGAGGACGAAGCACUCCCCAGCCGGCCUCUGUUUGGAGCAUGACUCCUCUCCUCCUCAGCUGACUUUCUUGACAGACUGGCAUGUUAGGCAGUAAAUUGGCACAAUGUCACACUGUUUGCUGGGACCCGAGUGUGCAACCACAACACAGGAGGAGGAGAGCUCCAGCAUCCCCAUCCCUGUCCGUCUCUUGACAUGAGAGACUCUGAGACUGCUGCUUCCAUCACAUGACCCAUAUUAAACACAAGCCCCCAAAGCAAAAGAAGGGGUUGAGCGUGCUACCUGGCCUCAGCUGGGCUCUUCUCUGGUUACAGGUGUCCCGUGAUCACUGUCCAGAAGGAGGGCCUUCUGCACUCCCGUUGGCUGUAGCCACUUCAUUCAAGGUGCCUUCAGAGGGGGGAUUCCUUCCUGAUUUCUGACAGGUUUAUAGGCUGCAGCUCGAACAGCUAAUCAGGAGGGAAAUCAAGAGUAUUAAUCAGCUUUUAAAAAAUCUUUAAUGUUUGCUUUGCUAACGUGCUGAUCUGCACUAACUUGCCUUUGCAAAAGGGACUGCUCCUGCAAGAUGCGCCAGCAGGGGCCUCGGAAAGCAUUCCACCCUGUCCGCCGUAGGAACUGCUCUGAGCUUCAGAAAGCAGUGUUCGUCUUGGCCAAGUGGCCUGGCUGCCGGGUCUUCCGGGCCAGGUGGGCAGUGCCAGGCUGAUGCAGGCGCCGGAAGCGUGUUUGGGCAGGAAAGCCGGAACUGUUCUCAUGGAGGUGGGGGGGUCUGGCCGUCCUGUCCACCGACAGCUCUCUGGGUUCACGGGCUGCCAGCACAGUUCCCAGGGGCCUUGGGUUUUCUUCUUGCUGUGGUUUCUCAAGUGCCUUGUCUGCAGACAGCCUCCUCCUUUCUUUUCUCCUUCAGAGACUGUACAUGACAGAAGGAGUUCUGAGCGAACUGGAAGCCUAGGGUUGCCUGUAUUACUGGUUUAUGAGAAAUAAUUUUACCUGAGCACACCUCGAAAUUUGCUUUUCUCAGCAUACUUUACCUCUUAUUUGAAAGAUCGGUUUUUUGAAGGGUCAAGACAAUGAACUGAAAAAAAAGAAAAAGUGUUGGCCUUUUUGUGGGACCAGAUUCCGAAGAUAAAAAAAUAAAUAUUUUUACUUCUGUCGA
Non-coding RNA from Leptonychotes weddellii (Weddell seal), 2691 nucleotides. The record is from RefSeq and is a predicted model, not a curated record. NCBI's taxonomy places the organism in Eukaryota, Metazoa, Chordata, Mammalia, Carnivora, Phocidae.